This 372-nucleotide ribosomal RNA is filed under the name uncultured organism. RNAcentral's name for it is "bacterial SSU rRNA". It matches the Rfam family "Bacterial small subunit ribosomal RNA", at positions 526 to 896 of the family's 1533-position model. The record is from RNAcentral.
CAGAGGUCCCAAGCGUUGUUCGGAUUCAUUGGGCGUAAAGGGUGCGUAGGUGGCAUGGUAAGUCGGGUGUGAAAUCCCGGGGCUCAACCCCGGAACUGCACUCGAUACUACCGUGCUCGAGUACUGGAGAGGAGACUGGAAUUUACGGUGUAGCAGUGAAAUGCGUAGAUAUCGUAAGGAAGACCGGUGGCGAAGGCUAGUCUCUGGACAGUUACUGACACUGAGGCACGAAGGCCAGGGGAGCAAACGGGAUUAGAUACCCCGGUAGUCCUGGCAGUAAACGGUGCGCGUUUGGUGUGGGAGGAUUCGACCCCUUCCGUGCCGGAGCUAACGCGUUAAACGCGCCGCCUGGGGAAUACGAUCGCAAGAUUA